GUUCUGUUAUCAGCAUCCCUGAUGUUACUUCUUCAUAAAAACGAAACGUUCACUGAAAUCUUCUUUUUUUUUGGAGUAAAGUUUUGUUCUUAACUGAUUCUUUUGGUCGAGAUGUAAGUCAGGAUAUGUGGCAGCCUUACCUGUAUCUGGUGUAUCCUUCAUUUAUCUUUUAAAUGAUAGAUGUGCUCAACACAGUCACCAUGCUAUAUAAUCUUUAAUGAGAGGACAUCAUAUAUUUAGCGGGAAAUAAAACUAAAAGGAUAACGCUAUCUUCUGUUCAUUCCUCCUCGGAGGAUUUUGUGCGAAGUUAGUCUAGUAUGAAGGAAGCUAGGAACAAGUCGAAAGAAGAGGAACAUAGCUGGUUCUCAUGGGGCUGCAUGUUGAAAAACACAUCCUCCUAAUGUAGCAAAUAUGUAAGCAAUCAAGAAAUCAAGCAUCUUGAUUGAUAUUGACAGUUUCAGAGCAUUUUGUAUUUUAAUAAAAGUGUUGUUUAACAAAGUACAAUUUUCCUCCAAGUCCAAAUCAGCUAAAUCAUUAAUAGUUAAUUGUUUAUCUCUUUCAGAAAUAAAC
RNAcentral lists this long non-coding RNA (570 nucleotides) under Mytilus galloprovincialis (Mediterranean mussel). The record is from RNAcentral. Lineage: Eukaryota; Metazoa; Mollusca; Bivalvia; Mytilida; Mytilidae.